This 75-nucleotide transfer RNA is filed under the name Oligoflexia bacterium. RNAcentral's name for it is "tRNA-Thr". It matches the Rfam family "tRNA". Rfam says of the family: Transfer RNA (tRNA) molecules are approximately 80 nucleotides in length. Their secondary structure includes four short double-helical elements and three loops (D, anti-codon, and T loops). Lineage: Bacteria; Pseudomonadati; Bdellovibrionota; Oligoflexia. The record is from RNAcentral.
GCUCGCGUAGCUCAGUGGUAGAGCACUCCCUUGGUAAGGGAGAGGUCAUGAGUUCAAUCCUCAUCGUGAGCUCCA